AAUAUAUUAAAAUAAAUUGUUGAUAUAGUGUCGGAUAUUGGCCGACAGUUUCUACCCAACACCAACAUGUUGGACUAUCAUAAAUUGUGUGGUGCUA
RNAcentral lists this non-coding RNA (97 nucleotides) under Leuconostoc pseudomesenteroides. RNAcentral's name for it is "Guanine sequence". It matches the Rfam family "Purine riboswitch aptamer". From Rfam's summary of the family: Riboswitches are metabolite binding domains within certain messenger RNAs that serve as precision sensors for their corresponding targets. The record is from RNAcentral. Lineage: Bacteria; Bacillati; Bacillota; Bacilli; Lactobacillales; Lactobacillaceae.